This 130-nucleotide ribosomal RNA is filed under the name Teratosphaeria sp. RNAcentral describes it as "partial small subunit ribosomal RNA". It matches the Rfam family "Eukaryotic small subunit ribosomal RNA", at positions 1352 to 1504 of the family's 1831-position model. Lineage: Eukaryota; Fungi; Ascomycota; Dothideomycetes; Mycosphaerellales; Teratosphaeriaceae. The record is from RNAcentral.
UAAAUAGCCAGGCCCGCUUUGGCGGGUCGCCGGCUUCUUAGAGGGACUAUCCGCUCAAGCGGAUGGAAGUUUGAGGCAAUAACAGGUCUAUGAUUCCCUUAGAUGUUCUUGGCCGCACACGCACUACACU